Molecule: transfer RNA, 73 nt
Filed under: Camelus ferus (Wild Bactrian camel)
Lineage: Eukaryota; Metazoa; Chordata; Mammalia; Artiodactyla; Camelidae
Rfam family: tRNA
About the family: Transfer RNA (tRNA) molecules are approximately 80 nucleotides in length. Their secondary structure includes four short double-helical elements and three loops (D, anti-codon, and T loops).
Source: Rfam by way of RNAcentral
GUGGGUGUGGCUCAAGUGGUGGAGCGCCUGCUCAGCAUCCACAAGGUCCUGGGUUCAAUCCCCAGCACCUCCU